AGAGUUGAUCAGUGGCUCAGGACGAACGCUGCGGCGUGCUUAACACAUGCAAGUCGAACGGAGCUGCAGGAGAGCUUGCUCGAAUACAGCUUAGUGGCGGACGGGUGAGUAACGCGUGAACAAUCUGUCUCAUACAGGGGAAUAACGCAUCGAAAGAUGUGCUAAUACCGCGUAGGACCACGGGGUCGCAUGAUUCUGAGGUGAAAGGCUUCGGCCGGUAUGAGGUGAGUUCGCGUCUGAUUAGAUAGUUGGUGAGGUAACGGCCCACCAAGUCAACGAUCAGUAGCCGACCUGAGAGGGUGAUCGGCCACAUUGGGACUGAGACACGGCCCAGACUCCUACGGGAGGCAGCAGUGGGGAAUAUUGGGCAAUGGGCGAAAGCCCUGACCCAGCAACGCCGCGUGAAGGAAGAAGGUUUUCGGAUCGUAAACUUCUGUCCUAUAUGAAGAUAAUGACGGUAGUAUAGGAGGAAGCCCCGGCUAACUACGUGCCAGCAGCCGC
RNAcentral lists this ribosomal RNA (501 nucleotides) under uncultured bacterium. RNAcentral describes it as "bacterial SSU rRNA". It matches the Rfam family "Bacterial small subunit ribosomal RNA", at positions 8 to 518 of the family's 1533-position model. The record is from RNAcentral.